AGUGUUGUUUUGGCUCAAGUCAGCUGGACGGUUUCUGUUAUUUGUUUUGGCUUCCUGGUCCAUGUGAGGGGUUGGUGGGGGUGGGGGUGGGGCAUGAGAAUCGCCUUGUUUUUGCUUUGCCGUAACUGAGGAAAGGAUUAAGGAGCCAUCUGUGGCACGUUGUUGUCGCCAUAAAAAAAAAAAAUCUACUCUUUUCCAAUAGCGUUAAGUUUGCUUCUGUUCACGUCUGUCAUAGGGCAGGUGUGUCAUGCCCAAAGCGAUUGGACCUGUGGGAGUUCUGUUGUGGGUGGUUCCCGGAACUGUGGGCGGGCGAUUUCACCCAGGGCUCCCUCUGCUUUGUGUCUUGUAGAAUGUCGUUCUCUCAGGAGGCUCCACCAUGUUCAGGGAUUUCGGACGCCGACUACAGAGGGAUUUGAAGAGAGUGGUGGAUGCUAGGCUGAGGCUCAGCGAGGAGCUCAGCGGCGGGAGGAUCAAGAGAUCAGGCCUGGGGUGUAAUGACCAGUGUCCCAAGGAGAUGGGACUGAUUUACGGUGAGGAUCUCUCCUAUCCUUCGGAAAUGUUCUCAUUAAAUGAAAAUAACUGAUGUUAGCAGGGAGUUAAGGCGUUUCUCCAAGAUAGUCAUU
RNAcentral lists this long non-coding RNA (623 nucleotides) under Piliocolobus tephrosceles (Ugandan red Colobus). Its description in RNAcentral is "lncRNA (ENSPTEG00000010104.1)". Lineage: Eukaryota; Metazoa; Chordata; Mammalia; Primates; Cercopithecidae. The record is from RNAcentral.